CCCGGCCCCUUCAGACACCAGCU
Molecule: microRNA, 23 nt
Filed under: Sus scrofa (pig)
Lineage: Eukaryota; Metazoa; Chordata; Mammalia; Artiodactyla; Suidae
Description: ssc-mir44
Source: RNAcentral